Meriones unguiculatus (Mongolian gerbil) is the source of this 580-nucleotide long non-coding RNA. RefSeq lists it as uncharacterized. The transcript has 2 exons. NCBI's taxonomy places the organism in Eukaryota, Metazoa, Chordata, Mammalia, Rodentia, Muridae. The record is from RefSeq and is a predicted model, not a curated record.
UUUCCUUUCUGCUCCCAGAAGACUUAAGUUUCGCUUUCCAUUCAUCACCAGCUGAAGAGGCUGAUUUGGGAAGUAUAACAUUCUUCUAUAAAAUCAGAACUUUAAGAGAGGAAAAAUAGAGGCUUUGGGAUUCCUGAGGAUGAAAGUCAUCAGCUCUACAAGAAGACCAACAGAGCCGACUAACCAGGACCCAGUGGGGCCUGCAGAGAAUGAAGCACUAACCAAGGACCAUGCAAGGACUGCAUCUAGGCCCGCUACACAGAUGUAACCAAUGUUCAAGCUUCAUGUAGAUACCCUAGUAAGAAGAACAGGGCUUGUCUCUGACAUGGACUCUUGUCUGUGUUUUGAUUGCUUCCCCUGUUGGCGCUGCCUCUCCAAGCCACAGUUGAAGAGGAUGCACUCAGUCCUGAUGUGAUUUGAUGUGCUGGGAUGGGUUGGUGGGGAGAGGGCUUACUUUUUCUGAGAAGUAAUAGAGUGAAGAAGGGGGAGAGAGAAAGAUGGAGGGAGGGUGAAACCGGGAGGAGAUGGUAGAGGGGGUCAGGAUGUAAAGUGAAUAAAUAAAAUAAUUUUUUAAAAAGAA